Molecule: ribosomal RNA, 497 nt
Filed under: uncultured bacterium
Lineage: Bacteria
Description: partial 16S ribosomal RNA
Rfam family: Bacterial small subunit ribosomal RNA
Source: RNAcentral
GAUGAACGCUGGCGGCGUGCCUAAUACAUGCAAGUCGAGCGAACGGACGAGAAGCUUGCUUCUCUGAUGUUAGCGGCGGACGGGUGAGUAACACGUGGAUAACCUACCUAUAAGACUGGGAUAACUUCGGGAAACCGGAGCUAAUACCGGAUAAUAUUUUGAACCGCAUGGUUCAAAAGUGAAAGACGGUCUUGCUGUCACUUAUAGAUGGAUCCGCGCUGCAUUAGCUAGUUGGUAAGGUAACGGCUUACCAAGGCAACGAUGCAUAGCCGACCUGAGAGGGUGAUCGGCCGCACUAGAAGUGAGCCAGGGUCCAGACUCCUACGGGAGGCAGCAGUAGGGAAUCUUCCGCAAUGGGCGAAAGCCUGACGGAGCAACGCCGCGUGAGUGAUGAAGGUCUUCGGAGCGUAAAACUCUGUUAUUAGGGAAGAACAUAUGUGUAAGUAACUGUGCACAUCUUGACGGUACCUAAUCAGAAAGCCACGGCUAACUACGUG